AGGAAGGUAGUUCAGCUGGUAAGAAUUCCUGUCUGAUAAGCAGGCGGUCGUGAGUUCGAGUCUCACCCUUCCUA
RNAcentral lists this transfer RNA (74 nucleotides) under Eubacterium sp. RNAcentral's name for it is "tRNA-Ile". It matches the Rfam family "tRNA". From Rfam's summary of the family: Transfer RNA (tRNA) molecules are approximately 80 nucleotides in length. The record is from RNAcentral. Lineage: Bacteria; Bacillati; Bacillota; Clostridia; Eubacteriales; Eubacteriaceae. RNAcentral also lists the same sequence under 2 other names.